GGGGUUGUAGCUCAGUGAUAGAGUUCAUGCUUUGCAUGCAUGAGGCCUUGAGAGCAAUCCCU
This 62-nucleotide transfer RNA is filed under the name Erinaceus europaeus (western European hedgehog). It matches the Rfam family "tRNA". From Rfam's summary of the family: Transfer RNA (tRNA) molecules are approximately 80 nucleotides in length. Their secondary structure includes four short double-helical elements and three loops (D, anti-codon, and T loops). Lineage: Eukaryota; Metazoa; Chordata; Mammalia; Eulipotyphla; Erinaceidae. The record is from Rfam by way of RNAcentral.